UGGGGAAUUGUUCACAAUGGGCGCAAGCCUGAUGACGCAACGCCGCGUGGGGGAUGAAGGUCUUCGGAUUGUAAACCCCUGUCGAGCGGGACGAACGGCUCACGAGCUAAUCAUCGUGAGAGUGACGGUACCGCUAAAGGAAGCCACGGCUAACCCUGUUCCAGCAGCCGCGGUAAUACAGAGGUGGCAAGCGUUGUUCGGAAUUACUGGGCGUAAAGGGCGCGUAGGCGGCCUCUUUAGUCAGACGUGAAAUCCCCCGGCUUAACCUGGGAACUGCGUCUUAUACUGGGAGGCUUGAGUUCGGGAGAGGGAUGUAGAAUUCCAGGUGUAGCGGUGAAAUGCGUAGAUAUCUGGAGGAAUACCGGUGGCGAAGGCGGCAUCCUGGACCGAAACUGACGCUGAGGCGCGAAAGCUAGGGGAGCAAA
Molecule: ribosomal RNA, 425 nt
Filed under: uncultured bacterium
Lineage: Bacteria
Description: bacterial SSU rRNA
Rfam family: Bacterial small subunit ribosomal RNA
Source: RNAcentral